GUCCACGCUGUAAACGAUGGGAACUAGGUGUGGCGGGUGUUGACCCCUGCCGUGCCGAAGCUAACGCAUUAAGUUCCCCGCCUGGGAAGUACGGCCGCAAGGUUAAAACUCAAAGGAAUUGACGGGGGCCCGCACAAGCGGUGGAGCAUGUGGUUCAAUUCGACGCAACGCGCAGAACCUUACCCGGUCUUGACAUCCUGGGAACCUUUCAGAGAUGAGAGGGUGUCCGCAAGGAAGCCCAGAGACAGGUGCUGCAUGGCUGUCGU
This 266-nucleotide ribosomal RNA is filed under the name uncultured bacterium. RNAcentral's name for it is "partial 16S ribosomal RNA". It matches the Rfam family "Bacterial small subunit ribosomal RNA", at positions 793 to 1055 of the family's 1533-position model. The record is from RNAcentral.